This 17881-nucleotide long non-coding RNA is filed under the name Olea europaea (common olive). Its description in RNAcentral is "long non-coding RNA (OEUR_LNC003822)". Lineage: Eukaryota; Viridiplantae; Streptophyta; Magnoliopsida; Lamiales; Oleaceae. The record is from RNAcentral.
AUUCUAAGCAUUUGAGAGGCUUAGAUCUCUCCCCCUAGCUCAACAACUAAUUCUCAGCAUGAAUAUCCCCAAUCCCUCCCCAUUACAUUUAUAGGCAACUUAUCACAUCAUUAUUCUCCAAAAUACCCCUGCCCCUACCUGAAUCUAUUUUAAUUGAGUAAGUUUCUCAAUUCUUCUAGAUCCUUCCACAUUGAUAGGAGUCUAUCAUUACUCGCCCUUCGAAAUCCACCUUGUCCUCAAGGUGGGAAUGUGGUUUAACUUCAAAAUUCGAAAUUCCAUAUAACAAAUCCGUUUUUGGAGUUAAGCUUAUUGUACUUGUUAGCUCGUGCAGCUAGUCGUCCACCUACCAUUAAAAUGUUAUUCAUACAAAUUCCAUAAAUGGAACCCACGUAAUAGAAACCUCAUAGCUCGUAGUUUCUGUGGCAUGCGGGCCUAAUUCAUCAACCAGCCCUGUUAAAUUGAAGUGAUGUAUAGCUUCGUAAUCUAUCAAAACUAUUACCGAUUGCUCCAAAAUCGAGCCCCUAAUUUUCAUGGUUUUUGGUGAGGUAAGACCCACAACGGAGUUGAGUGAUAUCUCGACCAGCUCUCCUAGUUUGUGCUCUUCUUCCUCUUGUGACCCAUCUAAUUGAUCAUCCCCGUCACCUCCCCAAACCAAUAAUACUUGUAGCUUUUCAUUCCGGCAUAUGUGACCCAGAUUGUCCUUCUUAUCACAAUAACACUGAUAAGCUCCCGAUAAAAUACACCUAUUCUAGAAACAGCAGGAAGGAGUGAGAAGGUGGAGGUACGAAACAAAUUCGGUUAGGAAGGCAGGAAGCAGUUACGGUAGUCUAUAAAUAGAAAUUGUGUAAGGGGAUGAGGCAUGAAAAUUGUUGAGUGAAAUAGACAGUAAGGAGAGGCAGCCCUCUCGAAUGACUGAAUGUUAAUUUCCCUGUAAUCAUCUUUCAUUUCUGAUCAGUAAAGCAUUUCCGUUCUUCUUCUCUUCUGUUCUAUUAUUUUCAGUUUUGGUUAGAUCUUAUCAAUCUGGUAUCAGAGCACCCCCACAACAACCAUGACUCUGUCCGAUCGAGUAGGAGAAUUAGAGCAAAGAAUAGAAAGCAGGCACCAGAACUUCAUACUGGGUUAGAUUCUCUGAGAAAUGAAUUCAGGUUGAUGCAGGCUGGAAUGAUGGAGAAACUCGAGUUGUUGAUGCGGUCACGGGAUAUUCAAGAAAGGGAGCAUAAGGAAAAAGAAACGGCGAUAGAGAAGUCGCCCAUGGCUUCUGCUGAUUCUGGGUUAACUCGCCUAAGACCCGGUGGAAGUCAAUUCACUGGGGAAGGAUCAGGUGGCGAAUGGCGAGGGGAAACCCGAAUACGGAAAUUGGAGAUGUCAGUGUUUGAAGGAGCUGAUCCUGAUGACUGGGUUUUACGUGUGGAGAGGUACUUCAGUAUCAAUUGCCUCACGGAGGAAGAAAAAGUGGAGGCCGCCGCCGUUUGUUUCGACGGCGAGGCGUUGGCUUGAUUUAAAUGGGAAGAAUGACGUCGGCCUAUGAAAUCGUGGGGAAAGGUGAAAACUCAAUUACUGAGGCGAUUCAGAUCAUCACAAGAGGGGUCCCUUUGCGCACAAUUUCUCUCCCUCCAGCAAAGCUCCACUGUAAGGGAAUAUCGCCGGCGAUUUGAAACGCUGGCAUCGCCUUUGACAGAAGUGUCGGAAGAGAUUCUGGAAUGCAAUUUCCUCAAUGGUCUUAAACCGGGCACCAGGGCAGAAGUCCAGUUACUAAGACCAACGGGCCUUGAGCAAAUGAUGGAGGUGGCCCAAAUGGUAGAAGACCGAAAGCUAAUUAUCCAGUCUAGCCCAUGGACUAAUAGCUCAAUAAAACCCAAAAGCAUACCCUAUCAUAGCCCAAAUCCACGACAACCCACCCAAAUCCAAAAUAAAACCACAGUUCCUUUACGAAUGCAACCUCAGUGCCCAAAUUUCUUCCCCAAAAAUACCCCGACAUUUAAAAGGCUCACAGAUGCCGAAAUCCAAACUAAGAGGGAGAAAGGCUUGUGUUACCGAUGUGAUGACAAAUUUACGAUUGGGCACAAGUGUAAGAAUAAGGAGCUAUAGGUCUUGGUGAUUCGUGAGAUAAAAGAAGGAGAGAUACGGUAGGGAUCAAGGAGGGGCGAACUGAGCUCCGAUCCCGAGGAAACUAUGGGCGAGCUGGUAGUCGAAGAAGAAGAGGAAGGUGGGCUGGGUCAAUCGGUGGAACUGCCCAUAAAUUCUGUUGUGGGGCUCACUACCCCGGGAACCAUGAAAUUGAGGGGGAUGCUCGGUCAGAAAGAAGUGGUGGUGUUGAUUGAUAGUGGGGCCUCACAUAAUUUCAUCUCGUCAGAAGUAGUGCAGCAGUUGGGGCUCCCUUUGUCAGGCACCACAAGCUAUGGUGUUAUAAUGGGUACCGGCUUGACAGUGAAGGAAGAGGGAGUUUGCCAGCAGGUGGCUUUAUGGGUGCAGGGAUUGGUGAUAGAAGAAGACUUUCUACCCUUGGAACUGGGUGGCUCUGACGUGAUUUUAGGGAUGCAAUGGUUACAGAAAUUGGGCAAAACACAAGUGGACUGGAAAACUCUAAUAAUGACCCUCGACGUGGCAGGAACCAAAGUAAUUCUGCAGGGAGAUCCGAGCCUCAGCAAAAUGGUCGUUUCACUAAAAUCAAUGUGGAAAGCUUUUAAGGAGCAAGGGGAAGGACUCCUGUUAGAAUUGGGAAAUAUCAUUGUCGACACAAAUUCCUCAUUAUCUCAUCCACCAACCUUCGUUGCAGAGAUUCUGAAGGAAUUCGGUUUGGCUUUCAAGGAGAUUACCCAGCUGCCUCCCCACAGAAGUCAGGAUCAUGCAAUCAUCUUGAAACCUGGGGCAGGACCAGUUGGUGUACGACCAUACCGGUACCCGCAUUUCCAAAAGAAUGAAAUUGAGCAGUUGGUGCGGGAAAUGCUUGCUGCAGGAAUAAUACAACACAGUACAAGCCCCUUCUCAAGCCCUGUACUCUUGGUCAGGAAGAAGGAUGGGAGUUGGAGGUUUUGUGUGGAUUAUCGGGCGCUAGAUAAGGUCACAGUCCCUAACAAGUUUCCUAUUCCAAUCAUUGACGAAUUACUUGAUGAGUUGAAUGGGGCGACAGUAUUUUCGAAAAUUGAUCUAAAAUUUGGAUACCAUCAAAUCAGGGUCAGGGCAGAGGACAUCCCAAAAACCGCCUUUCGAACCCAUGAAGGCUACUAUGAGUUCCUCGUCAUGCCUUUUGGCUUGACUAGUGCACCAGCCACUUUUCAGUCAAUAAUGAACACUAUCUUUAGAGGCCAGCUCAGAAAGUAUGUUUUGGUAUUUUUUGACGACAUUCUGGUUUAUAGUCGGUCGGAAGCUGAACACAAGGGACAUCUGAGGAAAGUCUUGCAGACUUUAGUAGACAAUCAGUUACAUGCCAAUCGGAAGAAGUGCUCAUUCGGGCAAAAAGAGAUCGAGUACCUCGGACAUAUAAUAUCAGGAAAGGGAGUGGCGGUGGAUGAGUCCAAGGUAGCUGCCAUGAGAGACUGGCCAAGACCGAAGUCCCUGAAGGAAUUGAGAGGAUUCCUAGGACUAACAGGAUAUUAUAGGCACUUUGUAGAAGCCAAUGGAAAAAUAGCAUGGCGCCUGACUCAACAGUUAAAAAAUGAUAAUUUUGGGUGGAAUGAAGCGACAAAGGCUUCUUUCAGGAAAUUGAAAGAGGCUUUGACUUUAGUACCAGUAUUGGCUCUUCCUAAUUUCACACAGCCCUUUGAAAUUGAAACAGAUGCGUCAGGGCAAGGGUUGGGAGUUGUUCUGAUGCAGAAUUGAAGACCCAUUGCUUAUUUCAGCCAAGUUCUACCACCACGUAAUCAAAACAAGUCCUUAUAUGAAAGAGAGCUCAUGGCGAUUGUGUUGUCAGUACAAAAGUGGAGGCAUUAUUUGCUUGGGAGACGUUUUGUGGUACGAACAGAUCAGAGGGCCCUUAAAUUCCUUCUUGAACAGAGAGUGGUAAAUGAUGAAUAUCAAAGGUGGCUGACAAAGUUAUUGGGAUUUGACUUCGACAUUGAAUACAAACCCGGACGGGAAAAUAAAGCAGCUGAUGCAUUGUCUCGGAAAGGGGCAGCCGCUACAUUAAUGGCAUUAAGCAUCCCAAGUACACUACAGCUAGAAGAGGUAAUAAAGACAGUCGAAGAAGACCAGGAUCUGGAGGGCCAUAGUGAUGGCUUUGAAGAAGGACUCCCUUGCCCAUCCAGGUUAUUCCUUAAUUCAGGGUACCUUACUAUACAAAGGACGGAUUGUCUUACCCAAAGCUUCCCUGUUCAUCCUAUUGGCGUUACAAGAAGGUCAUGACAGUAAGGUUGGCGGUCACGAGGGGUUCCUAAAGACAUACAAGAGAGUGGCUGAAACCUUUCAUUGGGUUAGAAUGAAGAAGGAUAUUAGGGCAUAUGUUGCCGCCUGUGAAAUAUGUCAACAGCAUAAAUACUCCACGUUGGCUCUAGCAGGGUUGUUGCAACCCCUUUCUGUACCAGAAAAAAUUUGGGACGACAUUUCCAUGGAUUUCAUAGAAGGGUUACCCAAGUCUGAAGGGUUCGACUCUAUCUUGGUGGUGGUCAAUCGCUUAAGUAAGUAUGCCCAUUUCAUUGGUCGUAAGCAUCCUUUUACAGCUCCAUCCAUCGGUGCAAUUUUUGUUAAGGAAGUAGUCAGGUUGCAUGGAAUUCCGAGGUCGAUAAUUUCCGAUAGGGAUAAAGUAUUCUUGAGUAAAUUCAGGGGACCAAACUGAAACAUAGCUCGACAUAUCACCCGCAAACCGAUGGACAAACGGAAGUAGUGAAUAGAGGGGUUGAGACCUACUUACGUUGUUUCACUUCCACACGGCCAAAAGAGUGGUAUCGUUGUCUUCCUUGGGCUGAAUUUUCUUACAACACCUUCUUCCACGUGUCCUCAGGUAUGACCCCUUUUCGCAUUAAUUAUGGGCGGGAUCUUCCCUUCUUAUUGCGGUUUGAAAAGGGAACAACAGUGGUAUCCUCACUGGAUCAACAAUUGGCCGAUCGGGAUAAACUAUUGGAUGACCUCAAGCUUCACUUACAUCAGGCUCAGCAACAAAUGAAGAAUAUGGCUGACAGGAAGCGGCGAGCAGUGGAGUUCUCAGUGGGGGACUUGGUCUACUUAAAGAUGAGACCUUACCGUCGCAAAUCCUUGGCUCAACGUAGUAAUGAAAAAUUGGCUCCCAGGUAUUAUGGGCCUUUUAAAAUCUUGGCUAAGGUUGGGGAAGUUGCAUAUCGACUGGAACUGCCAAUGGGGACACAGAUUCAUCCAGUCUUCAUGUUUCACAAUUACGCAAGGCCAUAGGAGAACACCAUUUGCCUUCCCAGUUACCUCCCAGUCUUAGAGCCGACUGGGAACUAAUGGUAGAGCCAGAAGCUGUGUUGGGGGUGAGGACUAAUGCCCAGAAGACAUCAACAAAGUUAGAAGUGCAGAUUCAAUGGAAGGGUUGUCACCAUUGGAAGCUACUUGGGAACCAUUCAGUCUCAUUUCCAAGCAAUUUCCUACCUUCCACCUUAAGGACAAGGUGGUGGAAUUGGGGAAGGGGGGGGGGGGGAAAUUGAUAAGCCUAAAAUACACCUAUUCUAGAAAGAGCAGGAAGGAGCGAGAAGGAAGCCUUCGAUAAAAUACACCUAUUCUAGAAAGAGCAGGAAAGAGCGAGAAGGUGGGGGUAUGUAAUAAAUUCGGUUAGGAAGGCAGGAAGCAGUUACGGUAGUCUAUAAAUAGAAAUUGUGUAAGGGGAGUGAGGCAUGAAAAUUGUUGAGUGAAAUAGACAGUGAGGAGAGGCAGCCCUCUCGAAUGGCUGAAUAUUAAUUUCCCUGUAAUCAUCUUUCAUUUCUGAUCAGUAAAGCAUUUCCGUUCUUCUUCUCUUCUGUUCUAUUAUUUUCAGUUCUGGUUAGAUAUUAUCAAACACACCCUCUUAUCCUUUUGCAUCUGUAGCUCUACCUUUGUCAGCUUUUUGAAGGGUGUUGUACCUUGGGUCACCGUCGUCGGACAUAUUAUAGAGAUCGUUGCUACCUUUUGAAGGGGGGUACUUUUAAAAAUGGUGUUGUCAAAGGAGGGAAAUUUCAUUUUGACUUGUUGAAUUCUUAAAAUUAUGACAAUAGCCUAUUGAGUGUUAAAAGACAAAAAUGUCGUUUAGUGUAUUAUGCAAUUACAAAAGAAAGUUUUGUUAAAAAGACAUUAUUACCAUUUUGUUAACAAAUAAAAACCAAACACUUCCCAUUUAAAAUAUCAAAAUCAGCAAAUUUCUCAUAUCUGUUUACUCCAACACAGAUAAAAAUAUUUUCAUCUUUCAUCUGCUAAAAGCUCAAAAUUUGAAAAAUUUAUCGAACACAGUAGCGUGAAAAUUUUUGUUAAACUAUUUUACAUUUGUAUAUAUAAAAUUUAUUUCGACAUAUAUAUUAUGUAGAUAGUUUUAUUAAUAGAUCUAUGAAAAAUUUUAAGCCUUUGACGAGAAAAAAUUCAUCUGCAUUAAUACUGAAAAAUUAAUCUGCAAAAGUUUGGUGUGUUUAUUCUACCGGACAGCGAAUUUGAACUGUCCAUUGUCUAGUUAACAGUUGAAAUAAUUCGGCUAGACAGCCGAAAAAUUUAACAGCUUACAAAACAGUCGGCUGCUGUUUUAAAUUUUUUCUCCUAUUUCGUUCGAUAUUUUCUUGCAAUUAAAAAUUCUUUUUCGUCACGCAGAUAUGACUGUAGUCCCAGUUUGUUAUUUUGGUGAUUUCAAAUUGGACAAAAGAGAUCGAUGGGUAUGGAAAUGGAUGAGUGAUAAACGUGGUGAUAUCCCAAUUUCCGUAACAGAAACAACAACAUAUGCAGAAUUCUAUAAUUUUUUACAGAACAAGCUAAAUGUCGAUCUCUCUUAAUAUGACAUGAAAUUGAAAUUUAAAUUCAGUGAUCAUGAAGUCCGAGUCCACCUAUGACGAUUUCUUCUAAUAUCGAAGUGAAUUAUCUGUUUGAAAUAAACAAUAGACACUCGACUCCUGUUUGCGUGACUUUAGUGAGGAAGGAUGUCGUUGAAGGUGAACAAGUAGACUCAGAUGGAGGGGAUAACAAUGUUAAUGAUUUUUGGGAUAUGGUCCAUAUAACACGUGAAGAUGAUGCGGUUAUUCUAGAGGUAGUUUGUCACAGAAUUCCGUCCGUGGUUCACGACAAUGAGUGUGGAAAUGUAAAUACUUUUACAGACAAAGAUUUGAUCGCUUUAACCUGACAAAGAUAUGAGCGGGGUGAGACCUCAGGGGCUGAAUCGAGUGGACCGUCUUUAACUCCUCCCGUGUGGUUUCCAACAGUGAGGAUUUGUAUGUCGAGCAAUUGUUUAAAACGAAAAAAGAUUUGCAGGAAGCUAUGCACCUAAUUGCGCUAGAAUACAACUUUGAGUUUAAAGUGAAAAAAUCGAAUAAGUCGUUGACAAUUGCUUGCAUAGACGACAGUUGCUGUUGGCAUUUGCGAGCGACGAAGAUGAACCCGAAUGAGUGUUUUGUAGUUCGCAAGUACACAUGGAAGCACUUGUGAAGUGGGAUUACGUCGAAAUAAUCACAGGCAAGCCCCGAGCUUGGUUUAUUGGUCGACAGAUAAUGCACAAGUAUCACGAUCCUCGUACGAUCUACAGAUCAUCGGACGUCAUUAACGACGUCCGUCGAUAGUACGGAGUAAUCUUGAGCUACUAGAAGGCCUGGAAGGCCAAGGAAUGUGCAUUUGAGGAUUUAAUGGGCUUUGCAAAGGAAAACUAUGCUAAAUUGGCCAAGUAUUGCCAUAACAUGGAGAAAACUAAUCCUGGCUCGAAAUUUUUUAUUGACACGGAGGGUGGGAAUUGCUUCAAAUUCUUCUUCAUGACUCUUAGACAAUGCAUUCGGGGAUUUUAAAAUGCAAUGCGACCCCUAAUUCUAGUUGAUGGUACAACACUGAAAUCUAAAUGUCAAGGCAGGUCGAUUAUUGCUACAUGUCAAGAUGUCAACAUCAAAAUUUAUCCUCUUGCAUUUGGCAUAGUCGAUAGUGAGAAUGACCUGUCGAUGCGGUGGUUCUUCAUAAAGUUAAGGGAAGUAAUCGGGGAAGUCGAGGACCUUACAUUUGUAACAGAUCAGGGACAGUCUUUAAUAAAUGGUAUCGCUGAAGUUUUUCCAGAUGCCCAUCAUGGGUAUUACAUGUAUCAUAUUCAAGGCAAUUUGAAGACCAGGUAUCGAGGCAAAGAUAUUGUUUCAUUAUUCAGGAGAGCGGCUGAAGUCUACAGUGUUGAAGAGUGUAAUAAGUUCAUGGUUGAAAUAGGAAGUAAAUCAUUCGAUGUAUGAGAUUAUCCAACGAAAAUGGGGAUUGAACAUUGGGCGCACUCGUUUUUACCAGGAUGUCGAUACAAUAUGAUGACGUCAAACAACGCGGAAUAUCUCAAUGCAUUAUUCAAGAAGGAUCGAGAAUUACCCAUUCUUGCACUUAUUGAGAAUAUUCGUACCAAGCUACAACAGUGGUUUCACGAUCGACGUGUGAAAUUACAGAAUUGCACGAGCGUGCUAGCCCCGAUGCAAGAGGAAAAGCUAUUCAAAGCUAUAGAACUUGUUAGACAGUUGAAUGUCGAACCACUAGACGAGUCGAGCUUCUCAGUGAAAUGUGCACGAAUACGACAUACAUGGUGGACUUGACUGAUAACACAUGCAGUUGUAAAAAAUUUCAGCUGUAGGCUUUUCCGUGUGAGCAUGCAGUCGCGGUUGCUAUGUAUCGAUGAUUUGCAGCUAGAACAUUGUGCUCUCAUUACUACACGAUUGAUUAUUGGAGAGCUGCGUACGCUGAGACAAUAUUUCCUUUGCCGAACGAAGCUGAGUGGGAAGUGUCCGACCGUAUUUGCCCACUCAAUACAUUGUUGCCAUCUCUCAUUGAAUAGCAUGGUCCUGGACGUCCAAGUACGUCUAGAAUACCAUCUACCGGAGAAUUUCCUCGACCACGUAGGUGCAGUCGGUGCAAAUCAGUAGGGCAUACUCGUCAAUAUUGUACAAGUCAUGUUCAUCUAAAUGAUAGAUCAUUUGGUAAUGAUUUCCAUCUGAAUUAAACAGUAUUUGCAUUUAUUAUACCAUAACAAAUUAAUUGCCGUCAUAGUUAAUAAUCAUUUCAUAAUCCAUCACAGUGUGUUACAAACAUUUCGUAAGUACAACAAAUCAAUAUUUACAGUGUUCACAAUUAUUUCGUAAUUACAAAAAAUUACAACUAAUAAUUACAAUAAAUCUAUGGAUCACCAUUAAAAUAGAAUAAGUCGCACGCCAACUUAUUCCGCCAACUCUAUAUCCAGGAUUGGUUGAUUCCAUCAACCUUACAUGCUAUACUUAGAAAUUUGAUGUACUUUAUUGCAAAAAUGCCACAAUCGUCCCUGCAAAUGAACAAAAAUAAGUUCGAUCAGUACCGUGUAGCAAAAAAAAUUAAGUAUUAAAUUUUAAAAAAUUUAGAACCACUUACGAUAUUGUCUGCCUCGUUGUAGUUGUGUUCCGCAUGAUGGCUAAUCUGCCCUUCAUAGUCAAUCCCGUCGGUCUAGUUAUCAUAGGGAUAAAAACAGCAAUGGGCUCCAAAUUUUGCUCGAGCUGACCCUGUGUUAGACAUGAAUGAUCGGGGUCGUAUAUGUAUAUAGUAGACUCAGUGAAUACAAUCUCCAAGGUCAUGCAGUGAUGAUUCACGAUCACUGGUAUGUACAUAUUUGUACAACCCUCUCAUGACUUCCCCCCGACAUGUGGGCACAUCCAUAUGGUCUACUCGAGCAUGUAGUCGAGUACCGCGUAUUCCUUGCCGACAUGUUGGAGCGAAUGGUACUCAAAUGUCAACGCUUCUUCCGAACUCCAAAUUGAGUAUGACUCUGCCAAGACUGUCAAAUGAGCUCGGAUAUCUUUGAACCCGAUCACGCAACAAGUCCAUGGCCAGGUCGAUGUGCUGUAUUAAAAAAUAGUAAUUCAAAAUGAAGUUAUUUCAUUGCAUAAACAAACUAUGAUGUGCAAGUCAUAAAAAUUAACAGUAUGACUACUUCACUUACAUCGUCAGCAAGCCAGGCUCCUGAAGUGAUGAUGUCGUGGAACCACUUAUAAGUAUCGGAUAUCGUCACAGUACCGAUCGUACGGCUGGUCCUAACAAAAGAAACAGAGAAAUGUUAAAAAAGCGUAUACGUGUAACGAUCACUGGUAUGUAUUAAUAUCACUAAUAUCAUGAAUACUAACCCGGGCAACAUUCUUUUCCAUCCGUCUCGAAUGCUUUCUACUCGACAUGGUCCACCUCCCGAAAUGGGUGGGGAUCAUCCCAUCGACGAACCUCCUCUUCUUUGUCUCAGCCGUGAAGGGAGAGACAAUGUACUGUGACGGCACUCUCAGCCUCUUGCCUAUUACCAGCUCUGGUAAGUCAACAUCACGCUUUUUCGGCCCAGUCACGGCCAUUGUCCUCCCCUUGCCCACCUUGGGCAUCGUCUCCUCCUCCGUCCCCGACGAUCGCCACCUCCUUCACACUCUCCUCCUCCUCCUCCUUUCCCGUCAUCACCACCUCCUCAACCGUCGCUCUCAUCCCCGAGGGGCCCACCACCUCAUCUACUCGUGUUAACACCACGCCCUCGACCCCCUUAUCCGCCAUCGUCGGCACCACCUCCUCGACCGUCGCUCCCGUCCCCAACAGGGCCACCCCCUCCUUUGACCUUGGGGCUAUCCCCUCUUCCGCCCUCGAGUCCACCCUAUCCUCUAUAGACCGAAAAAAGAAGUCCCAUGCAUCCUCCAACCACAACUGUGGAUGACCCCCAUCUCUAUUCUCUCGAUCACCCCCCGGUCGUCACCUUCGUCAACCCAUCGUCUGCCUGCUAUAUUACCUUGAAGUGCUACACCUUAUCAUGAAGGUCCCUUAAAUGCGCACACAGCACUCUAAUAUCAUCAGCUAUAUCCUUGACCCUCCCUACCAACUGACGUCCCAGAUCGUUGACUCGCUCCUCCAUAUCUCGAUGCAGCGUCGACCUCCUCUGAUAUAACUCCAUCAGCCUUCGACGCAGCGCGCCUACCUCCCCUGAUAUAACUUCUCCUAGCUCUCGACGUAGCGCAUUGACCUCCCCCGAUAUAACUCCUGCCAGCUCUCGACGCAGCGUGCCGACCUCCUGCACCAUAAAUCCAGUCCGGCGAUGGUACAGAUCAUCAGAAUAAUCACUUUGAGGGGGAGGAAGUGACGCCGGUGGCGGAGGUGAUGCCCGAUCAACUGGCUCGUGGUCCUGCACAAACUUACAUAUUAUUAACUUAUUCAAUAAUUGCUAACUCAUACAAAAUAUUAAUCAAUAAUUCACUUAACCAGUCUCGAUCGGGGAUCUAAUCGGAUAUCUGGUCGUCCUGGGCAUGCGAAAUCGCUACUUCACGCACGAGACCCUACGCCUCCUCUAUCGACGACGUCAAAUGAGUGAUUACUUCAAGUUGAUAUAUUGACAUUUUAAAAAGAUAAAAUCAUGUAAUGUUACACUAUGUACAAUAUAAAUCACAAAUUUAUAAUACUCACAUAAUGGUCGUCGAAGAGAGCCGAUAAUUGUUCCCCAGUGGGACAUCUCUCCAUUUGAGAUACUCAUCAAUGGUGCAUCCGAUGGCAGCGUGUCUCCUCUCGCUGCGCAAAGCGGGUACCCAAUAUAAGGAUGGUCUCAUAUGCCCAAACCUAAAACACAUAAAUUAGUACAUACAAAUUCAAUAGAAAAAAUAUUUUAACAUUGAUUGCGUUAAUCAUUUACCUGUAGCGCCAGGGGAAUCCGUACAUAUCGUACUUACACACAGGCCCUUUGGGCUUCGAGUGCGGUCUGAUGAAGAUGUGGACGGUGUUCUCGAAACAUCGACGGCUCCACGGAUAGCUGUUGAAGCGAUCUAUGUCGUCGACGAUCUCGAGGUGAAAGAGGUCGAUCACAGUCUUUUUGUGGUGACAUCGCAUCACGCUCUCAAUGAUGUAGACCAGACCUAAUUUCAGUCUGUCCAACAUCUCGUCACACCUAAUCGCGUCCAUCAGCUGAGGCAAAACCACUGUCCCCUGUCCAUGGAAGUAAGUGUCUUGCAGCCUAUUUCUUCCCUGAGUCCCGCUGCUAGCUGCCUCAUCGCCCGUAAUCUUCAAUCCAGUUAGCAGGGCAAACUCGAACAUGGAAAAGCUAGCGACUUUGCCCCCGAGGUCGAAGUGGAGGGCAUCGCCGUCAACUGGACUUAGCAGCCGACAUAAAAGAGUAUCGAUCAUUUGACCCGAAUACUGCAACUCUCUUAUAGGUUAUAGAGGCCACAGAAAGGAUUGACACAGCAUAUCUGCAUACUGGUCGUCCAGUAGCUCCAAGACAUGGGCAAAGCUGUCAAAGUUACCGUUGUCUAGCAUCUGUCUCAGCUCUGCAUCCAAAUGAUAAUCCAUCUUGCAAAAAUUGAAGUAGAAUAUUAGAACAUUGUACAUGAAAUAAUGCAAUGAAGCAUAAUAACCCAAAAUUAAGUGAACCGAAUUUUUAACCGUAUUUUUAAAAUCACAAAUAUCUUUACAUUAAAAUUAUAACUAAAAUGAAAUUUUAAAUUUAAAAUAAAAAAUUAUAAUUAAUUAAAAAUUAGAAUUAAAAAUUUAAUUUGAAAUUAAUUUUAAAAUAACAAAUUUCUUUACAUUAAAAUUAUAUAAAAUGAAAAUUUAAAAUAAAAAUAAAAUAAAAAAUAAAUUAAAAUAAAAAAGUCAAAAUUCGGAUUAAAUAAUUAAUUUGAAAAUAAAUUCUAAAUUAACAAAUUUCUUUAAAUUAGAAUUUAAAUUUAAAUUUAAAAUAAAAUAAAAUUAAAACUAAAAUUAAAUUUAAAAUUAGAAUUAAAAUUUUAUUUUGAAAUUAAUUUUAAAAUAACAAAUUUCUUUACAUUAAAAUUAUAUAAAAUGAAAAUUUAAAUUUAAAAUAAAAUAAAAAUUAAAAAUUAAAUUAAAAUUAAAAAGUCAAAAUUCGGAUUAAAUAAUUAAUUUGAAAAUAAAUUCUAAAUUAACAAAUUUCUUUAAAUUAAAUUAAAAUUUAAAUGAAAAUUUAAAUUUAAAAUAAAAUAAAAAUAAAACUUAAAUUAAAUUUUAAAAAAAUUAAAAAUUAGAAUUCAAAAUUUAUUUUGAAAUUAAUUUUAAAAUAAAAAAUUUCUUUACAUUGAAAUUAUAAUUAAAAAAUGUAAAUUUAAAAUAAAAUAAAAAUAAAACUUAAAUUAAAUUUUAAAAAAAUUAAAAAUUAGAAUUCAAAAUUUAUUUUGAAAUUAAUUUUAAAAUAAAAAAUUUCUUUACAUUGAAAUUAUAAUUAAAAAAUGUAAAUUUAAAAUAAAAUUACAAUUACAAUUAAAUUUAACAUAAAAAGUUGAAAUUGGAAUUAAAAAUGUAAUUUCAAAAUUAAUUUUAAAAUAACAAAUUUCUUUAAAUUAAAAUUAAAAUUAUAACUAAAAUGAAAAUUUAAAUUUAAAAUAAAAUUAAAAUUAAAAUUAAAAAGUCAAAAUUAUGAUUAAAUAAUUAAUUUGAAAAUAAUUUCUAAAUUAACAAAUUUCUUUAAAUUAAAAUUAAAAUGAAAAUUGAAAUUCAAAUUCAAAUUAAAAUAAAAAAUUAAAAUUAGAAUUAAAAAUUUAUUUUGAAAUUUAUUUUAAAAUAACAAAUUUCUUUACAUUAAAAUUAUAAUUAAAAGAAAUGUAAAUUUAAAAUAAAAUUACAAUUACAAUUAAAUUUAACUUAAAAAGUUGAAAUUAGAAUUAAAAAGGUAAUUUGAAAAUUAAUUUUAAAAUAAUCAAUUUCUUUAAAUUAAAAUUAUAACUAAAAUGAAAAUUUAUAUUUCAAAUAAAAUAAAAAAUUAUAAUUAAAAAGUCAAAAUUCAGAUUAAAUAAUUAAUUUCAAAAUAAAUUCUAAAUUAAAAAAUUUCUUUAAAUUAAUUUAGGAAUUCUAAUAUUAAAAAAAAAAAACCGGUUGAUAGUCGGUCGGCAACAACAAAAAAUCCACCUCUACUCUUCGGAUUCCACCAUUUCCGGCGAGCUCGAGCUCCCCAAACACCAAAAAUUGGCGAACACACUUCAUCUAUACGCAAAUCUACCCUAAAUCAUGCAUUUCAUAUCACAAAAAUCAUAUUCCAACCAAUAAUCUAACUAAAACUCAACAAAAGCCAAUAAUCUAAUUAUAAUUCCACAAAAACUAACAUUUACAACUCUUAAAAGCCGACAACCGAAAGUUCUUUGGUGAGAGAGAUGUCUGGACGGCCGACUGUCAGUGGAUCUGAUUUUUUCUUUCCAAACCGUCGACAGAGAGAGAUGAAGAUGGAGGGAUAUUUUUGGAAAAGUAUCUUUAAAUUGUGUUUUCGUUUUUUUUUUUUUUAAAAUCAGUCAAAGGCCAAAGUGGAAAUAAGGGCGGGUCAAAUGGCCAUUUUCACUUAGUUCCUCUUUUGAAGGAUCAGGUGGGCUUGAGGAGGAUUCUGGAGAUAUGGGUUGGAUGUGUGAAUUGGACUGUAUGCCUUAAUUUUAUCCAUAGUUGGGCUGUAAUUUGCUUGGUCCGUAAGUUUAUAUGCUUGAUUAAUUCAUCUAUACUUCUUCCCCCUUGAUUAAGUUUAGGGAAAAUUUCAUAACUAAGAAAUUAAUUAUGGCACAUUUCAAAAACAAGAAAACAAGUUUGAAAUUUCUAAAAUCAGGUUUUUAUUAAAAAUUAUUUAUAAUUUAAUUAGUUAAUUAAUUAUUUUAUUAAUUAAAUAUAUUUAGGUCACAGAUCUAUGCAAUUUGAUCACAAAUUAACAAUAUAAUUAGUUACAUAUUAUUUUUUGGUCACAAAUCAAAAAUUUUAUGUCACAAAUUUUUUUACGAUCACAUUUCAAAAAAUUUGUUUAUUGGUCACAAAUUCAAAAAUAAUUAGUCACGGAUUAAUUUUUAGUCACGAUUUAUCAUAUUAUUGGUCACAACUUAUUUUUCGGUCACAAAUUAAAAAUUUUAUAGGUCAUAUAUUAUUUUUCGAUCACGAAUCAAAAAUUUUAUUGGUCACAGAUUAAUUUUUCGGUCACAACUCAAUAAAUUAUAAGUCACAAACACAUUUUAUAGGUCACAGAUUAAUUUUUCGGUCACAACUCAAUAAAUUAUAAGUCACAAAGACAAAUUUUAUAGGUCACAUAUUAUUUUCGAUUACGAAUCAAAAAUUUUAUAGGUCACGAAAUCAAAAUUGUUAUUGGUCACAUCUAAUUUGGUCGCAAAUUAACAAUUUAAUUGGUCACUUAUUAUUUUUUGGUCACGAAUAAGAAAUUUUGUCACAAAUUAUUUUACGAUCACAAUUCAAAAAUUUUGUAGGUCAUAGCUCGUUCAUCGAUCACAAAUCAAAAAAUUUAUGAGUCACGAUUAAUUUUUAGUCACAACUUAUCAAAUUAUUGGUCACAGCUCGUUCAUCGAUCACAAAUCAAAAAUUUUAUGGGUCACGAAUAAAAAAUUUAUAAGUCACAGAUCACAAAUAUUAUAGGUCACAACUUAAAAAACAGUCACAAAUUAUUAAUUUUUUAGAUCACACAAUAUUUCUUGGUCACGAUUUUUUUUUCAUUGGUCACAUAUUGUUUAUUAGUCACAGAUUAACUAAUUCGCUGGUUACAUUCGAUCAAAUAAUCUGUGACCACCAUCAACAUUUGCGACAACCACCGCCACCAUCAAGGCAGAACCGCUACCACCACCACCACCACCCAUCAACAACACCACUGUCAAACGAAUCAACAUAUCCACCUCAAUAGACCACAACCACCAAUAGUUCACCGUCAUUGCCGCACCCACUGUCGUCUACCGCCACGACCACCGUACCACACAACACCACCACCAACACAACCAAAACCACCAUGACUACCGCACCGCCCCCACGAACACCACCACCAUCGCACCGCCCCCUCCAAAAAAAAUCCCCAAUCUGCCACUGGACUCUACCACCAUCCCACCGCCCGUAUCAACACCUCCACUCAACCACAACACCAUCACAUACAACCCACCACAAACACAUCACCACCACCACGCACAACCACCGCCCACAGUACACACACAAUGCUACCACAUUACAAGCCCACGACACUGCACAACCACAACACACAGCACAAUAGUCAAUCACGACCAAAUCCACCGCCGCAGCCCACCGUCCAACAACCAUUUAGCAAAAAUUUUAAAAAAAACCCACUGAUUGGUGCUUUGGUGAAGCUUGAAUACGUCGCGAAUCCUCACGACGACGAUUGUCUGCAUUAUCUGGCCAGCGAUUGACGCUUCUUCUGGUCGGGGAUGCCGUGGGUGGUGAUGGCACAGUGGGUGAUUGGGGCAAGGGAGAGAAGACGGUAAGAGAGAGAGUGAAAAUGGUUGGGGACUGCGAACUGGAGAGAGGGUAAUACGAGAGAGAAAAUGAUAGGGUUUGGGAUAAAAAAAAUGUUUAUUUAAUAUUAAUAUUUAAAUAUAUUAAUAUCUGAUUUUAAAAAGAUUAAAGUUCCCAUCUGGUUUCAAAAUUCAUGAUUUUAAUGGUAAGGUUUUGUGUAAUUACCACUUAAGUUUAUAUGCUUCAUUAAUUCAUCUAUACUUCUUCCCCCUUGGGCCAAAUCCAUAAUACAGCCCAAAUCAUGACGUUGCAGCCUUCUAUCAUCAGCCUGUGGAAUGGGUUUAAACCCAUUAACAAAAUUGCUUCGGUGAAACUCCUCUGGUGAUGUCGAGAAAGGGGUGACCAGAUUUUCGAACAACUUCCGGUAACCCCUGUGAUUUCGGCAAUCUGUAGUAGCUCCGAUUUCCCUAGAAUUGGUUGGAGUUCCAGAAUAUAAGGUGUCUUCAGAUGAGUUUGCUUCCUGUCCUUUCUCCUUCCAUUCCCGUCCCUGUCCUUCCCGUUCCGGCACCAUCAUCUCACUUUUCUCCAUUAGAAUUUCCAAAUCCCAUCGAUACUUGCCAAAAAAUUCGUCCUCCUAGGAUGGUCGAAAUUCAUCUAUGUCUUCAAAAAUUGUCGGCUCUGAUGAGUUCUCUGCGAUCUCUUUCUCUUUCCCCUCCCUUUCCGGCUCAGCCAUGGAUUUCUUCUCCUGGCUCGACCAAUUCACAGUGACCCGUCUCACCUCUGACCUCUUCUCCUCCUCCAGCAAUGGUGAUGGCUACGUAACCUCAUCCAAUUGACCACGUUCAGCAAUCGUUAUCUCCUCGUGUACCAUACUUCUGUGCUUUCCUGCUGGCAAUUCUUCAUCACUGGAGAGCUCAUUCAUGCUAAAUCGAGCCAACAUCAGUCCCUUCAAUUCAUUCCAUGUUCGCACCGAUCGUUGUUGAUCUACCUCCUGAAACCAUUUCCAUGUUUCCUAGUCAAAACAGGAUGUUGCUGCUUCUAUUUUCUCUGCCUCCAGCAAUUGGUUUAUGGAGAAAAUAUCCUCCGCCCUAGAGAUCCACCGCUUGGCAUUAUCACCGUAGAAUAUGGAGAUUAUGAGUCGCCCUUGUGAAUCCAAACCUAACUCCUCUUCUCGGUCUCUCUCUUCUGGUUGCCUUGUCAUCUUUUCCAAUCGAUUCAAUAUCGAGCCCCAGCUCUCUUCCAUUUCCUUGCUGAAAUUUGUUGGCAUUGCACUAAAAUCGUUCCUUAGAUACCAAUUGAUAGGAUACCGCUUGAAAGAACAAGUUCAAAUAUUGAAUGAGUGACUUUUUUAUUAAAAAGGCGGACGAUUACAGAAAUUGAAGAACAAUUCUAAGCAUUCGAUCUCUCCCCCUAGAUCAACAACUAAUUCUCAGCAUGAAUAUCCCCAAUCCCUCCACAUUACAUUUAUAGGCAACUUAUCACAUCAUUAUUCUCCAAAAUACCCCUGCCCUUAUCUGAAUCUAUUUUAAUUGAAUAAGCUUCUCAAUUCUUCUAGAUCCUUCCACGUUGAUAGGAGUCUAUCACUUUUCCUUUCUAUAAUAUCGAAAUGUGC